GUCUACAGCCAUGCUACCCUCAACAAGCCUGAUCUCGUCUGAUCUCGGAAGCUCAGCAGGGUCGGGCCUGGUUAGUACUUAGAUGGGAGACCACCUGGGAAGACUAAAUGCUGUAAGUG
This 119-nucleotide ribosomal RNA is filed under the name Pteropus alecto (black flying fox). The record is from RNAcentral. Lineage: Eukaryota; Metazoa; Chordata; Mammalia; Chiroptera; Pteropodidae.